GGCUCCGUGGUCAAGUGGUUAAGACAUCGCCCUUUCACGGCGGUAACACGAGUUCAAACCUCGUCGGAGUCA
This 72-nucleotide transfer RNA is filed under the name Lachnospiraceae bacterium. Its description in RNAcentral is "tRNA-Glu". It matches the Rfam family "tRNA". Rfam says of the family: Transfer RNA (tRNA) molecules are approximately 80 nucleotides in length. Their secondary structure includes four short double-helical elements and three loops (D, anti-codon, and T loops). Lineage: Bacteria; Bacillati; Bacillota; Clostridia; Lachnospirales; Lachnospiraceae. RNAcentral also lists the same sequence under 1 other name. The record is from RNAcentral.